CCUACGGGAGGCAGCAGUGAGGAAUAUUGGUCAAUGGCCGAGAGGCUGAACCAGCCAAGUCGCGUGAGGGAAGACGGCCCUACGGGUUGUAAACCUCUUUUGUCGGGGAGCAAAGCGUACCACGUGUGGUUCAUUGAGAGUACCCGAAGAAAAAGCAUCGGCUAACUCCGUACCAGCAGCCGCGGUAAUACGGAGGAUGCGAGCGUUAUCCGGAUUUAUUGGGUGUAAAGGGUGCGCAGGCGGAGGUUCCAGUCAGCGGUAAAAUUGCGGGGCUCAACCCCGUACUGCCGUUGAAACUGCAUCCCUUGAGUGCGCGAGAAGUAUGCGGAAUGCGUGGUGUAGCGGUGAAAUGCAUAGAUAUCACGCAGAACUCCGAUUGCGAAGGCAGCAUACCGGCGCGCAACUGACGCUCAUGCACGAAAGCGUGGGUAUCGAACAGGAUUAGAUACCCGUGUAGUC
This 459-nucleotide ribosomal RNA is filed under the name uncultured bacterium. RNAcentral's name for it is "partial 16S ribosomal RNA". It matches the Rfam family "Bacterial small subunit ribosomal RNA", at positions 338 to 795 of the family's 1533-position model. The record is from RNAcentral.